UGGGGAAUCUUGCGCAAUGGGCGAAAGCCUGACGCAGCCAUGCCGCGUGUAUGAUGAAGGUCUUAGGAUUGUAAAAUACUUUCACCGGUGAAGAUAAUGACUGUAGCCGGAGAAGAAGCCCCGGCUAACUUCGUGCCAGCAGCCGCGGUAAUACGAAGGGGGCUAGCGUUGCUCGGAAUUACUGGGCGUAAAGGGAGCGUAGGCGGACAUUUAAGUCAGAGGUGAAAUCCCGGAGCUUAACUUCGGAACUGCCUUUGAUACUGGGUGUCUUGAGUGUGAGAGAGGUAUGUGGAACUCCGAGUGUAGAGGUGAAAUUCGUAGAUAUUCGGAAGAACACCAGUGGCGAAGGCGACAUACUGGCUCAUUACUGACGCUGAGGCUCGAAAGCGUGGGGAGCAAACAGGAUUAGAUACCCUCGUAGUCCCUGAGCGGGCUGGCAAGGCGCAU
RNAcentral lists this ribosomal RNA (447 nucleotides) under uncultured bacterium. RNAcentral describes it as "bacterial SSU rRNA". It matches the Rfam family "Bacterial small subunit ribosomal RNA", at positions 355 to 825 of the family's 1533-position model. The record is from RNAcentral.